Molecule: small nuclear RNA, 192 nt
Organism: Alosa sapidissima (American shad)
Lineage: Eukaryota; Metazoa; Chordata; Actinopteri; Clupeiformes; Clupeidae
Product: U2 spliceosomal RNA
Exons: 1
Source: RefSeq, a predicted model, not a curated record
AUCGCUUCUCGGCCUUUUGGCUAAGAUCAAGUGUAGUAUCUGUUCUUAUCAGUUUAAUAUCUGAUACGUCCUCUACCCGAGGACCAUAUAUUAAUCUGAUUUUUGGAACAGGGAGACGGAAGAGGGGCUUGCUCCGUCCGCUCCACGCAUCGACCCCGGUAUUGCAGCGACUCCGGGAACGGUGCACAUUCC